Cadophora malorum is the source of this 145-nucleotide non-coding RNA. The record is from the annotation of a GenBank genome assembly. Lineage: Eukaryota; Fungi; Ascomycota; Leotiomycetes; Helotiales; Ploettnerulaceae.
GGCAAGGUAGUUCAAUGGUUAGAACGUCACAAUCAAAGUACUGUCGGAGUGGCGUUUGUCGUUCGUAAUGUAUUAUACUUGUACUCGUAGCUUGCUUGGGUGUAAAGGUAUUGUGAAAAUGGAGGUUCGAUUCCUUCUCUGGCCA